ACUCAAAUGAAUAGACGGGGACCCGCACAAGCAGUGGAGUAUGUUGUUUAAUUCGAUGCUACGCGAGAAACCUUACCGACCCUUGACAUCCCGCACGCGAUUUCCAGAGAUGGAUUUCUUCAAUUCGGUUGGUGCGGAGACAGAUGCUGCAUGGCUGUCGUCAGCUCGUGUCGUGAGAUGUUAGGUUAAGUCCUGCAACGAGCGCAACCCACGCCCUUAGUUGCCAGCGGGUAAAGCCGGGAACUCUAAGGGGACUGCCCGAGUUAAUCGGGAGGAAGGCGUGGAUGACGUCAAGUCAUCAUGGUUCUUACGGGUCGGGCUACAAACGUACUACAAUGGCGAUAACAGAGUGUCGCAAAGCCGCAAGGCCAAGCCAAUCAUCAAAAAUCGCCUCAGUUCAGAUUGUCCUCUGCAACUCGAGGGCAUGAAGUUGGAAUUGCUAGUAAUCGCGGAUCAGAACGCCGCGGUGAAUACGUUCCCGGGUCUUGUACACACCGCCCGU
RNAcentral lists this ribosomal RNA (502 nucleotides) under uncultured bacterium. RNAcentral's name for it is "bacterial SSU rRNA". It matches the Rfam family "Bacterial small subunit ribosomal RNA", at positions 899 to 1397 of the family's 1533-position model. The record is from RNAcentral.